This 565-nucleotide ribosomal RNA is filed under the name uncultured Glomeromycotina. RNAcentral describes it as "SSU rRNA". It matches the Rfam family "Eukaryotic small subunit ribosomal RNA", at positions 548 to 1114 of the family's 1831-position model. Lineage: Eukaryota; Fungi; Glomeromycota. The record is from RNAcentral.
UUGGAGGGCAAGUCUGGUGCCAGCAGCCGCGGUAAUUCCAGCUCCAAUAGCGUAUAUUAAAGUUGUUGCAGUUAAAAAGCUCGUAGUUGAAUUUCGGGGUCAGUAGGUUGGUCAUGCCACUGGUAUGUACUGGUCUCACUGAUUCGUCCUUCCUGAUGAGCCGUAAUGCCAUUAAUUCGGUGUUGCGAGGAAUCUGGACUGUUACUUUGAAAAAAUUAGAGUGUUUAAAGCAAGCUAACGCUUGAAUACAUAAGCAUGGAAUAAUGAAAUAGGACGUUCGAUCCUAUUUUGUUGGUUUCUAGGAUUGACGUAAUGAUUAAUAGGGAUAGUUGGGGGCAUUAGUAUUCAAUUGUCAGAGGUGAAAUUCUUGGAUUUAUUGAAGACUAACUACUGCGAAAGCAUUUGCCAAGGAUGUUUUCAUUAAUCAAGAACGAAAGUUAGGGGAUCGAAGACGAUCAGAUACCGUCGUAGUCUUAACCAUAAACUAUGCCGACUAGGGAUCGGAUGAUGCUAAUUUUUUAAUGACUCAUUCGGCGCCUUACGGGAAACCAAAGUGUUUGGGUUC